RNAcentral lists this ribosomal RNA (92 nucleotides) under Enterococcus faecium. Its description in RNAcentral is "partial 23S ribosomal RNA". It matches the Rfam family "Bacterial large subunit ribosomal RNA", at positions 2834 to 2925 of the family's 2925-position model. The record is from RNAcentral. Lineage: Bacteria; Bacillati; Bacillota; Bacilli; Lactobacillales; Enterococcaceae.
UCCCUGAGAGAUGAUCAGGUAGAUAGGUCAGRAGUGGAAGUACAGUGAUGUAUGGAGCGGACUGAUACUAAUCGAUCGAGGACUUAACCAAU